Molecule: long non-coding RNA, 900 nt
Organism: Sardina pilchardus (European sardine)
Lineage: Eukaryota; Metazoa; Chordata; Actinopteri; Clupeiformes; Clupeidae
Exons: 2
Source: RefSeq, a predicted model, not a curated record
CUCUCCGGACCAAUCAAAUUGUCGGGGCGGGCUUUACACAAUGAUGGAGAGAUGAGCAACAGCUGUCUCGUCUCAAAUCAUCUGAUCACAGAAUAUCUGGGCCCAACCAGGGUGUUAUGAUUGGUGGCAGAAUGUAUGUGACAACUGGACAUCUUCCAUAAUCUCUGUCUUCGUCCAAGGCUGACUUGACAGGAUAAGAGAUAGCACCAGGCAGUGCCUAUGGAGCUGCGCGUGGCUACAUGCUUGUGGAGGCUAGCCACCGAUCUUGCGCUCCAAUCUAUCUCUUACCUCUUUGGUAUGGGAUCGUUGAAUACAUCCAACAUCCUUAAGACAAUACCUUCACACACCAUCACAGUGUGCUGGAGCUGUGGCUGGAACUCAUAAUUGACAUUCUGGCAUCACCUCACAACCCAGUCGACUGCUACAAGGUGUUGCGGACCACAUUAUGAAGUUUUGGGACGUCAACAUUGGCUAGCCGGGGAAGGCUCAUGGCCUGUGUAUUUUCAAACUCCUCCCUUUACGAACAAGGGCAGAAUGGACCUCUGUUGUCAGGCAGGCGAGAAAUCAUUCAGGAUGCACCCCUUGUGAUACUAAUUAGAGGCUGACUGAUUUAUCAGUAUAUUAGGCUUUUUCCAAACUAUCGGUUUCAGCAUUUUUAACAGACAAUAAAUAUUUUUUAAAUCAGUAAAGGAAAACCGCAUAUUGAUCCUUAAUUUAGAUUGCAUUUCCAGUAUUGCCGUUACGUUUGUCCAGCAGAUGGUACAGCAUAUUGCUGCAAGAUACACAUGCUUGACUUUGAUCCACUUCACUUUCUACAAUGAACAUUGACAGUAGUUUGUGUGUAUUCAUGCCUGGAUGAUUUUUGUGAAAUGUGAUUCCCGAAAUAAACCUGAAAAUGUU